UUUAAGAAAAACCUUGACAAAGUCCAGACUGAGUGAGCACAGCCUCGCCAUAGAACAGGGGCAACACAGGAAGACCUGGCUCCCUGUAGAGCAACGGCUGUGCUCUCACUGCAGCCUGACUCACAGGUGAAGACAAGUUAUCUGUCCUACUGGGGAGGACACUAGGACCUGUGAGCUGGUAGCAGUCUAUGUUGCUGCCUGCCAUCAACUGAGGGACAUGGACAUCAACUGAGGGACAGGGACAGCUGUCUGCACCUUGUUGUUGUUUGUUUGUUUGUAAAUUUGUAUCAUUCCUGUUUAUAUCAUUGUUCAAAUUAAUUGAUUGAAAUUAUUUUGUAUUUUAUUUUAUUUAAUCGAUGUUUAUGAAUGUAAUUAUUGUAAAAAAAUUCAUCAUUUGAAUAUGCUUUGGCAACAUGUGCAGUGUUACGUCAUGCCAAUAAAGCCAUUUGAAUUGAA
This is a long non-coding RNA of Sebastes umbrosus (honeycomb rockfish), 456 nucleotides long. RefSeq lists it as uncharacterized. Lineage: Eukaryota; Metazoa; Chordata; Actinopteri; Perciformes; Sebastidae. The record is from RefSeq and is a predicted model, not a curated record. The transcript is spliced from 2 exons.